RNAcentral lists this ribosomal RNA (980 nucleotides) under uncultured eubacterium AA25. RNAcentral describes it as "bacterial SSU rRNA". It matches the Rfam family "Bacterial small subunit ribosomal RNA", at positions 80 to 1072 of the family's 1533-position model. The record is from RNAcentral.
GGAUGAAGAGUCUUAGUGGCGAACGGGUGCGUAACGCGUUGGUAACCUGCCCCAAAGAGGGGGAUAACAGUUCGAAAGGACUGCUAAUACCCCAUGUGAUCAUCAGGAUUAGAUGCUUGAUGAUGAAAGGAGUAAUCCGCUUUGGGAGGGGCCUGCGUCCCAUCAGCUUGUUGGUAGGGUAAUGGCCUACCAAGGCUCUGACGGGUAGGGGACCUGAGAGGGUGGCCCCCCACACUGGCACUGAAAUACGGGCCAGACACCUACGGGUGGCAGCAGUAGGGAAUAUUGGACAAUGGGCGAAAGCCUGAUCCAGCAACGCCGCGUGCACGAUGACGGCCUUCGGGUUGUAAAGUGCUUUUAGGAGAGAUGAGAAAGGACAGUAUCUCCUGAAUAAGCCUCGGCGAACUACGUGCCAGCAGCCGCGGUAAAACGUAGGAGGCGAGCGUUAUCCGGAUUUAUUGGGCGUAAAGCGCGUGCAGGCGGUUUGGAAAGUUGGAUGUGAAAGCUCCUGGCUUAACUGGGAGAGGUCGUUCAAAACUACCAGACUAGAGAAUGGGAGAGGGAAGUGGAAUUCCCGGGUGUAGUGGUGAAAUGCGUAGAUAUCCGGAGGAACACCAGUGGCGAAAGCGGCUUCCUGGACCAUUUCUGACGCUAAGACGCGAAAGCUAGGGGAGCGAACGGGAUUAGAGACCCCGGUAGUCCUAGCUGUAAACGAUGUAGACUUGGCGUUGGCGGAGUUAAAUCUGCCAGUGCCGGAGCUAACGCGUUAAGUCUACCGCCUGGGGACUACGACCGCAAGGUUAAAACUCAAAGGAAUUGACGGGGACCCGCACAAGCAGCGGAGCGUGUGGUUUAAUUCGAUGCUACACGAAGAACCUUACCAGGGUUUGACAUGCAAGUGGUAGGAAACUGAAAAGGGACCGACCCUUCGGGGAGCUUGCACAGGUGCUGCAUGGCUGUCGUCAGCUCGUGUCGUGAGA